This 67-nucleotide transfer RNA is filed under the name Marmota monax (woodchuck). RNAcentral describes it as "tRNA.Ala". The record is from RNAcentral. Lineage: Eukaryota; Metazoa; Chordata; Mammalia; Rodentia; Sciuridae.
GGUUGUGGCUCGGGGGUAGAGUAGUUGCCUGGCAUGUGUGAGGCCCUGGGUUCAAUCCUCAGCACCG